This 71-nucleotide transfer RNA is filed under the name Longimonas halophila. It matches the Rfam family "tRNA". Rfam says of the family: Transfer RNA (tRNA) molecules are approximately 80 nucleotides in length. Their secondary structure includes four short double-helical elements and three loops (D, anti-codon, and T loops). Further hydrogen bonds mediate the characteristic L-shaped molecular structure. tRNAs have two regions of fundamental functional importance: the anti-codon, which is responsible for specific mRNA codon recognition, and the 3' end, to which the tRNAs corresponding amino acid is attached (by aminoacyl-tRNA synthetases). tRNAs cope with the degeneracy of the genetic code in two manners: having more than one tRNA (with a specific anti-codon) for a particular amino acid; and 'wobble' base-pairing, i.e. permitting non-standard base-pairing at the 3rd anti-codon position. The record is from Rfam by way of RNAcentral. Lineage: Bacteria; Pseudomonadati; Rhodothermota; Rhodothermia; Rhodothermales; Salisaetaceae. RNAcentral also lists the same sequence under 3 other names.
UGCCCGGUCGUCUAAUGGCAGGACAGCGGUUUUUGGGGCCGUGAGUGGGGGUUCGAAUCCUCCCCGGGCAA